This 498-nucleotide ribosomal RNA is filed under the name uncultured bacterium. RNAcentral describes it as "bacterial SSU rRNA". It matches the Rfam family "Bacterial small subunit ribosomal RNA", at positions 903 to 1397 of the family's 1533-position model. The record is from RNAcentral.
AAAUGAAUUGACGGGGGCCCGCACAAGCGGUGGAGCAUGUGGUUUAAUUCGACGCAACGCGAAGAACCUUACCAGGUUUUGACAUCCUCUGACGUGUACAGAGAUGUACAUUUUCAUCUUCGGAUGGACAGGGAGACAGGUGGUGCAUGGUUGUCGUCAGCUCGUGUCGUGAGAUGUUGGGUUAAGUCCCGCAACGAGCGCAACCCUUAUCCUUAGUUGCCAGCACUGAGGGUGGGCACUCUAAAGAGACUGCCGGUGACAAACCGGAGGAAGGUGGGGAUGACGUCAAAUCAUCAUGCCCUUUAUGACCUGGGCUACACACGUGCUACAAUGGCCUGUACAGAGGGACGCGAAGCCGUGAGGCGGAGCCAAUCCCAGAAAGCAGGUCUCAGUUCGGAUUGCAGGCUGCAACUCGCCUGCAUGAAGUAGGAAUCGCUAGUAAUCGCGGAUCAGCAUGCCGCGGUGAAUACGUUCCCGGGCCUUGUACACACCGCCCGU